RNAcentral lists this ribosomal RNA (620 nucleotides) under Enterococcus sp. RNAcentral describes it as "bacterial SSU rRNA". It matches the Rfam family "Bacterial small subunit ribosomal RNA", at positions 74 to 673 of the family's 1533-position model. Lineage: Bacteria; Bacillati; Bacillota; Bacilli; Lactobacillales; Enterococcaceae. The record is from RNAcentral.
CGGAGCUUGCUCCACCGGAAAAAGAAGAGUGGCGAACGGGAGAGAAACACGUGGGUAACCUGCCCAUCAGAAGGGGAUAACACUUGGAAACAGGUGCUAAUACCGUAUAACAAUCGAAACCGCAUGGUUUUGAUUUGAAAGGCGCUUUCGGGUGUCGCUGAUGGAUGGACCCGCGGUGCAUUAGCUAGUUGGUGAGGUAACGGCUCACCAAGGCCACGAUGCAUAGCCGACCUGAGAGGGUGAUCGGCCACAUUGGGACUGAGACACGGCCCAAACUCCUACGGGAGGCAGCAGUAGGGAAUCUUCGGCAAUGGACGAAAGUCUGACCGAGCAACGCCGCGUGAGUGAAGAAGGUUUUCGGAUCGUAAAACUCUGUUGUUAGAGAAGAACAAGGAUGAGAGUAACUGUUCAUCCCUUGACGGUAUCUAACCAGAAAGCCACGGCUAACUACGUGCCAGCAGCCGCGGUAAUACGUAGGUGGCAAGCGUUGUCCGGAUUUAUUGGGCGUAAAGCGAGCGCAGGCGGUUUCUUAAGUCUGAUGUGAAAGCCCCCGGCUCAACCGGGGAGGGUCAUUGGAAACUGGGAGACUUGAGUGCAGAAGAGGAGAGUGGAAUUCCAUG